UGAUGGAUCUUGCAUUGAGUACUAUAUGCUUGGCAGUGCUAGCGUCAUUUUUUCCUCGAUAUAUUUCGGGGAAUGUGAAAAUGCCAUCUCCUCCAACCAUCAACGGAAAGCUAUUUGACGUGAACGAAAUGAUUCCCGAAGAUACACUUUUUGAAACUUGCCUCAAGUACUGCAUCUAUGCUUCGGCAGUUUUCCAGAUACUGUGUCUUGCGGCUUUGUUUUUGUUUCCAGAACCAAAAAAGGAUUUGGAGACAGAACCGCAGUUGUCGUGGAACCAUGAACCUCAGCGUAAUAGUAGUCAACAAAAAGAAUCCGAAAGAACUGAAGCGUCAUCAAGUCAGAAAGCGCAAACGUCGCAGACAUCAAGAGGCACUACACGGCGAAGAGACAGAAGGAAAUGAAGUUCCAUUGGGAAAUAUGAAAUCAUUUCUGCAGUUUAUGCAUUUAAAACUUGAAGCUAAUCUUGUAUUUGUACAUAUGUUUAUAAUUGUUAUUUUGAAUUUUGUGAGCAUACUAAUUUGAGUUUUUUUAUUGUUUCUGUAAAUGAGCUCUAACUAAGAAAUUUAAUUAAUGGAAAUAUAGAUUUUCAGUUUAA
Symsagittifera roscoffensis is the source of this 595-nucleotide long non-coding RNA. RefSeq lists it as uncharacterized. NCBI's taxonomy places the organism in Eukaryota, Metazoa, Xenacoelomorpha, Acoela, Convolutidae. The transcript has 2 exons. The record is from RefSeq and is a predicted model, not a curated record.